GGGUCAGUAGGCUGGUCGUGCCACCGGUACGUACUGGUCUCACUGAUUCCUCCUCCCUCAAGAACCGUAAUGCCAUUAAUUUGGUGUUGCGGGGAAACAGGACUUUUACUUUGAAAAAAUUAGAGUGUUUAAAGCAAGCUAACGCUUGAAUACAUUAGCAUGGAAUAAUGAAAUAGGACGAUCGAUCCUAUUUUGUUGGUUUCUAGGAUUGACGUA
RNAcentral lists this ribosomal RNA (216 nucleotides) under Glomeromycotina sp. RNAcentral describes it as "partial small subunit ribosomal RNA". The stretch from base 87 to 216 matches the Rfam family "Eukaryotic small subunit ribosomal RNA", at positions 733 to 864 of the family's 1831-position model. Lineage: Eukaryota; Fungi; Glomeromycota. The record is from RNAcentral.